AACCCCUAGCGGUAGAUGAAGGAAGAAGUAGGAAGAGAGUAGUUAUAUGAUCAUUACAUGAAGUUCAACACAGCAUUCUUUAAAGAUUAGAAGAUAGAACAGUAGAAGUUGCUCAAGAGAAACUUUAUUGAUUUUUAAAGCUUAGAUGUUUGUCAUUAAUGGAAGAAAACGCCACAAAACGUAAUAAAACGAAGAUAUGAAAGAAGAACAGUUUGGAGGCUAUAAAUCUAUCUAUUUAAAGAAAUCCAACCGACUUAACGUUUCCUCUUCUAUACAAACACAAGAACAAACAUCUUACCGUGAACUGUACCAGAAGAUCUGGCCAACUUAAAAACGCUGAAAAUACAAAUACAUUCUUUAAAGAUCUAAGAACCUGAAGAAGUGACGGACGACUAUAGCCUCCUCUGUUUAUAUGCUCCUUAAGGGCAUAGGAUACUGCCUGGUUAUACCGUUGCCAACCAUGGAGAUACUGGUUCAUGUAAUAAAAAGAAAUAAAAAAUGGUAAGGAAUAAAAAUUAUCUUGCAUAAUUACUUUGAAAGGCCAUGAUCACAUUAACCAUGGUCAAAUCAAUUUGAAACUUGCAAAAAGUUUUUCUCACAAAAUAACUUACCUGAAGAACGCUUACUACGGUAAUUGUGAUUGCAAUUACAAUGCGAACAUCAACCUGAGGGGAAACUCGACGUUUGUAAUAUCUGUAGUAGUUAUAAUAAGCCUCCUCUACAAUGUGAAACAAUAAAAAUCAAGCUAAAGUUCAUGAUAAA
This is a long non-coding RNA of Xenia sp. Carnegie-2017, 762 nucleotides long. RefSeq lists it as uncharacterized. The record is from RefSeq and is a predicted model, not a curated record. Lineage: Eukaryota; Metazoa; Cnidaria; Anthozoa; Malacalcyonacea; Xeniidae. The transcript has 5 exons.